UGCUGCUACCUUUCCACAAACAGGAAUGCCAGGGAGCCUUCCCAAGAGCCAUCCUGAGGAUGUGGCCCCUCAUUUUAAGGUUGCUACCUGCUGAUCUCCAAGUCAUAAAUGCAGGACUGUAACACUGAUUGUGGAGAACCAUGCAGUGCUCCAGAAAGAAUGGUAGAGUGGAAUACUCGCCAGUUACUAAAGACAACAUUGCACACAUAUGCACAGUCCUGCCUACAAUUCUUCCUUUUUUUCCUUCCCUCUUUCAUGGUCAUGAACAAAGAGGCAAUUAAGAAAACUCUCAAGAUGGAAAAUGCCAAAAGUAUUGUCUCUCCUCCCAGUCUCUUGGGACACAGCUUUCGGGGGUGCUGAGAGCAUUUGAGAAGGGGUUGGCCACAUCGAUAACCUCUGUCCCCAACAAAUGUACAUAAUCAUGCCACAGGUAGAUGUGAAGAAGUAGCUUAAAGCAAUACCACCUCUUCCCCUAAGACCAGGAGCACAGGGCCGGAGUAACCAUCCCUUGCCUUGUUCAACACGUUGCCAGGACUGAAACACGGUUACAGUUAUGAGGCUAAGGUCAUGGUUAUAUUGGGUAUGAGCAGCUGACAGAGGGAGAGGAAAGCAAAGGGGAAUAAAUGUCAAGAAAACAAAGCAAAACAAACCAGAUCAAACAUAACCAACUGGAAACCAGCCCAGAAUGAGAGCAGAGAUUACAGAGUUUUAAAGACACAGGCUGGCUCCAGCUUCCUUUUGGGAUACAGUCAGUAGAAAGAGCAUUGCUCUCUCCCAUAUAAAAAAAACUGGACACUUGACAAAUUCCUAACUUCUUUCAAAAAUUGAGAGAACUGAGGUCAUACAACAACCAACUAACCCAAAAUGGAAGGAAAGACAGGUGUCUGCAAGUAAAGGCAGGACAAAGUGCACUCACUGACUCAGGGAAGACAUCUCUGGAUGUAAGAGAAUUCAUCUAAAACAAUUAACAAAUUAGUAAAGACCUAGUACAGGUUGGCUAGAGAAUAGAGAGUCCCUGGGGCAGCAUAUAACAGGGAUUUGUACCCACUUGUAGGCUUUUCUACUGGAGAGAAAGAUUGGCAAGGGUCAUGAGAAAUCAUCCCUUGAGGCUCAUGCCCAAAAGGAAAGAGCAGCCCCAAGCAUGGAAAGCCCUGCCCAAAACAGAUGCCUUGAGACAGCCAAAGCCUUACAAGCACUGGGGAAGGACAACAAACUGUCCCUUAGACCACAUCAAGACUUCCUCAGACCCUAGGAAUUUCUGCCUUUGUGAGACUCUUCCAAUUGUGUUGGUGUAAAGAUGAUUAUCAUUCAGGCUGAAUACGUUAUUCUAUAUCCAUUACUAUUACAUUCAUUUUCUCUUAUCACUUUAAAUAAUUAAUAUUAAAGCAUUUGUGGGGACUCUAAAAAGUACGAUGGGCUCCAGACACUGUGCUUUACUAGGACUAAUGGGGAAAAGCCCUCCAGGCCUCAGUGAGAGGUAGACCUAUAGCUGAGGACCAGGCAGGAGCACAGGGAGGGAUAUGCUAGAUGCCCAGGGACACAGUACCAACUAAGACUGAGCCUUCCUGAGAACCAUAGAACUCUCCAUCUCUGAACAUGACCAGCCUCCGGAUCUAGCUACUGACAGUGGCACUAGAGCAAAAACAGGGAGAACACCCCCCCACCGCCCCACACUCCCCUCACACCCCACACCCCCACACUCCCCUCACACCCCACACCACCACACUCCCCUCACACCCCACACCCCCAUACCCCCACUCCCCCCCCACCCCCCCCAGGAAAAGGGCAAACCGCAGGAAGGAG
RNAcentral lists this long non-coding RNA (1803 nucleotides) under Canis lupus familiaris (dog). Its description in RNAcentral is "lncRNA (ENSCAFG00000054351.1)". The record is from RNAcentral. Lineage: Eukaryota; Metazoa; Chordata; Mammalia; Carnivora; Canidae.